This 32-nucleotide non-coding RNA is filed under the name Geobacter sulfurreducens KN400. Lineage: Bacteria; Pseudomonadati; Thermodesulfobacteriota; Desulfuromonadia; Geobacterales; Geobacteraceae. The record is from RNAcentral.
AACAUUGGAGGGAAAAUCACAUGGUAGAGAAU